UGGUGACGAGAGCCGGGGGAACAAGUUACCUCCUGAAAAAAAAAAAAAAGAGGAGGAAAAAGAACGAGCGCAAGGCCCGAGGGGAAUGAAAGAGAGACAGCAGAAGAACAAGGGAGGAACCGGACCCCGCUGUACGGUCCCUCGGUGCUCUUUAAGCACAACUGCUUAAAAAGGAUUUGAGGACCGCCUUCAAAAGAUCUCCACAGUAACGUGCAUGCACAGCUUUCUUUUUUAAAUGAUAGGAACUCCAUUAUAAACCGCACAGAAACGCAGCUAUAUUAAAAGAAGAGCAGAGGGAGAGUGGAGCUAUCCGAAAACUAGCACACUAAUCAAAGCCAUAUGACCGGCUCAAAGUGAAGGCUGUGUGGAGCGAACAGAUGCUAAGUGUCCC
Gasterosteus aculeatus aculeatus (three-spined stickleback) is the source of this 391-nucleotide long non-coding RNA. Lineage: Eukaryota; Metazoa; Chordata; Actinopteri; Perciformes; Gasterosteidae. The record is from Ensembl.